This 253-nucleotide ribosomal RNA is filed under the name uncultured bacterium. RNAcentral describes it as "partial 16S ribosomal RNA". It matches the Rfam family "Bacterial small subunit ribosomal RNA", at positions 524 to 776 of the family's 1533-position model. The record is from RNAcentral.
UACGUAGGUGGCAAGCGUUGUCCGGAAUUACUGGGCGUAAAGCGUGCGCAGGCGGUUCGUUAAGUUCGUUGUGAAAGCCCCGGGCUCAACCUGGGAACUGCAAUGGAAACUGGCGGGCUUGAAUGCGGCAGAGGGGGGUGGAAUUCCGCGUGUAGCAGUGAAAUGCGUAGAGAUGCGGAGGAACACCGAUGGCGAAGGCAGCCCCCUGGGCCGACAUUGACGCUCAGGCACGAAAGCGUGGGGAGCAAACAGG